CCACAAGAUUGCAAGAUAAAUGGAUGGAGCUGGAAACAAUCACUCUGAAUGAGGUAACCCAGACCCAGAAAGACAAACAUUGGAUAUUUUCUCUCAUUUGUGGAUGUUAGCUUAGAAUAUUCAGAUAUUUGUGUUUCAUUUGGAAUUCCCACAGAGGUCAGUAAAUGGAGGAAAUGGGGUGCUUUUUGGGGGAGGGGCAGUAGGAUACAGUUGCCCAAAGGGUUAAAGGAGAAUAAAGGAACAGGGAAAGUUUAAAUGGUGUGGGGAGAUAUGAGGCCAUAGUAAAGGAAGGAAUGUUGAGGUGCGUAACUAAGACCUUCAAAAGAGUCAUAUAGAAACUUACUAAUGUAGAAGAUUCCUAAAAUAUAUACAUGUUCAUAUACAAGAAUAGUUAAAAUACAGUUAUCUUUAACAAAUCAGAACAUCCAGGUAAAGCAACCAUUGUUACUGAUAAAUUUCCAACUGACUAGCUUUAACUGUGCGGAAAGGUGCAAGGCACUCUACCAGAGGAGAAAAAUCACCACCCAUCUUACUCAGCUGUAAAUCCUGCAAGCUACCAUAGCAACGGACCUGGCAAGAUAUGGCUACUGGUACAGCAAUAGCGUGAGCAUCAUGGGAGUAAUCAACCACUUUCUGAUUUAAGUCCUGCUCCCUAAGAUGAAACCCAUACCUGGCACUAGUAUCAGGGACAAAAACUACAGCAAGACAGUCAUUGGCCCUAGGGGAGAACCUGCUAGUUUUAUUUUGUUAAAUGAAGGGCAUUAGAUUGAGUCCUAAUGAUGUAUCAUUAUACCCAUAGAUUAAUACUUCUCUCUACCCUCACAGAGGAAUUUUUUUUUUGCAGUAGUUGGCAAUUCACAGAGACACUCAUAACUGGCCAAGGUGCAGAGAAAAAAACACUACAGAAUUCUCAGCCCUAAAGUAGACAUCUGCAUCACACCCUCGCCUUCUGGGCCUCGGGGAUUAUUGACAAAGAGGAAGAGGAAAAGACUUUCUCAUCAGUUACUCAGGGCCCCAAACCCAACAGAUGCCUCACAGCUUCCCUGGAAAUUUAGGAAAUUCACUCAAUGUGUGUUCAGAGACAUCACCAGGCUGAUAUUCUGCUAUACCCUGAGAAUUAAUGAAGAUGGACUGACCAUGGAGUCCCUAAAAUUACAGCAAUUAGAGAAUCAUCAAGUGUAUUGCAAAUGCUUCUGGGAGGAACAGUCUUGUCUGAAACAAUAAAAUGAUUUGGAUAGCU
Long non-coding RNA from Peromyscus californicus insignis, 1240 nucleotides. RefSeq lists it as uncharacterized. The record is from RefSeq and is a predicted model, not a curated record. NCBI's taxonomy places the organism in Eukaryota, Metazoa, Chordata, Mammalia, Rodentia, Cricetidae. The transcript is spliced from 3 exons.